UACGUAGGGUGCGAGCGUUGCCCGGAAUUAUUGGGCGUAAAGGGCUCGUAGGCGGUUUGUCACGUCGGGAGUGAAAACUCGGGGCUUAACCCCGAGCCUGCUUCCGAUACGGGCUGACUAGAGGUAUGCAGGGGAGAACGGAAUUCCUGGUGUAGCGGUGAAAUGCGCAGAUAUCAGGAGGAACACCGGUGGCGAAGGCGGUUCUCUGGGCAUUACCUGACGCUGAGGAGCGAAAGUGUGGGGAGCGAACAGG
This 253-nucleotide ribosomal RNA is filed under the name uncultured bacterium. RNAcentral describes it as "partial 16S ribosomal RNA". It matches the Rfam family "Bacterial small subunit ribosomal RNA", at positions 524 to 776 of the family's 1533-position model. The record is from RNAcentral.